RNAcentral lists this ribosomal RNA (188 nucleotides) under uncultured bacterium. Its description in RNAcentral is "partial 16S ribosomal RNA". It matches the Rfam family "Bacterial small subunit ribosomal RNA", at positions 338 to 524 of the family's 1533-position model. The record is from RNAcentral.
CCUACGGGAGGCAGCAUUGAGGAAUAUUGCGCAAUGGCCGAAAGGCUGACGCAGCGACGCCGCGUGAAGGAUGAAGUCCGUUAGGAUGUAAACUUCUUUUGUGAGGGAAGAAUUUUCCCGUUUGGACCGGGAUUGACCGUACCUCACGAAUAAGCCUCGGCUAACUACGUGCCAACAACCGCGGUAAU